Molecule: unclassified non-coding RNA, 213 nt
Filed under: Hevea brasiliensis (rubber tree)
Lineage: Eukaryota; Viridiplantae; Streptophyta; Magnoliopsida; Malpighiales; Euphorbiaceae
Source: RNAcentral
GUUGGUAAAAUUUUCUGUGGUCAUUCUAAUUUACAAUCUGUACAGUAAUUUACACAAACCUCAAUCCUGAAAUGGAAAUGGAGUAGGCUUUUUUUCAGUUUCAGAACCUUCAAAGCCUUCUGCUCUAGCCUCUCGUUCCAGUUUAGGCAACGAAUCAAGCUGCGAAACCAAUCACCCGUUUGAUCAGAUUUGUUAACUGUUGGAAGUGGGUGC